GUAGGUGGCAGGCGUUGUCCGGAAUUAUUGGGCGUAAAGCGCGCGCAGGCGGUCCUUUAAGUCUGAUGUGAAAGCCCACGGCUCAACCGUGGAGGGUCAUUGGAAACUGGGGGACUUGAGUACAGAAGAGGAAAGCGGAAUUCCACGUGUAGCGGUGAAAUGCGUAGAGAUGUGGAGGAACACCAGUGGCGAAGGCGGCUUUCUGGUCUGUAACUGACGCUGAGGCGCGAAAGCGUGGGGAGCAAACAGGAUUAGAUACCCUGGUAGUCCACGCCGUAAACGAUGAGUGCUAAGUGUUAGGGGGUUUCCCGCCCCCCUUAGUGCUGCAGCUAACGCAUUAAGCACUCCGCCUGGGGAGUACGGCCGCAAGGCUG
This 374-nucleotide ribosomal RNA is filed under the name uncultured organism. RNAcentral describes it as "partial 16S ribosomal RNA". It matches the Rfam family "Bacterial small subunit ribosomal RNA", at positions 527 to 896 of the family's 1533-position model. The record is from RNAcentral.